This 848-nucleotide ribosomal RNA is filed under the name uncultured bacterium. RNAcentral describes it as "bacterial SSU rRNA". It matches the Rfam family "Bacterial small subunit ribosomal RNA", at positions 56 to 914 of the family's 1533-position model. The record is from RNAcentral.
UGCAGUCGAACGAGGUGCCUUUGUAGCAAUACGAGGGUAUCCUAGUGGCGAACGGGUGAGUAACGCGUUGGUGACCUGCCCCAAAGUGUGGGAUAACAGUCCGAAAGGACUGCUAAUACCGCAUGUGGCCAUCGGGUUUAGAAGCCGAUGUCUAAAGCAGCAAUGCGCUUUGGGAGGGACCUGCGUCCCAUCAGCUAGUUGGUGAGGUAAUGGCUCACCAAGGCGACGACGGGUAGGGGACCUGAGAGGGUGACCCCCCACAAUGGAACUGAAACACGGUCCAUACACCUACGGGUGGCAGCAGUAGGGAAUAUUGCUCAAUGGGCGAAAGCCUGAAGCAGCAACGCCGCGUGUGCGAUGAAGGCCUUCGGGUCGUAAAGCACUUUUCUGCGAGAUGAGAAAGGACAGUAUCGUAGGAAUAAGUCUCGGCUAACUACGUGCCAGCAGCCGCGGUAAAACGUAGGAGGCAAGCGUUAUCCGGAUUCACUGGGCGUAAAGCGCGUGCAGGCGGUUCGGUAAGUUGGGCGUGAAAUCUCCUGGCUUAACUAGGAGAGGUCGUCCAAUACUACCGGGCUUGAGAGUGGUAGAGGAAGAUGGAAUUCCCGGUGUAGUGGUGAAAUGCGUAGAUAUCGGGAGGAACACCAGUGGCGAAAGCGAUCUUCUGGACCAUUUCUGACGCUCAGACGCGAAAGCUAGGGUAGUAAACGGGAUUAGAGACCCCGGUAAUCCUAGCCGUAAACGAUGUAAACUUGGCGUCGGUGGCUUAAACUCCAUCGGUGCCGCAGCUAACGCGAUAAGUUUACCGCCUGGGGACUACGAUCGCAAGAUUAAAACUCAAAGGAAUUGAC